RNAcentral lists this long non-coding RNA (1300 nucleotides) under Homo sapiens (human). Its description in RNAcentral is "HSALNT0300915". Lineage: Eukaryota; Metazoa; Chordata; Mammalia; Primates; Hominidae. The record is from RNAcentral.
GGUUGUUGUUGUGGCUCAAGCACUUUGACGGGUAGAUGGCACUCAGGUCAGUACCCCUAAAUGGGGAGGCUCUGGCCAGUCACUGCCUUGGCUCUGGGAGCCUGGACUAUAUUUGGAACUCUUAGGGGCCCUGGGUCAUUGUGAAGUCUCCAGCGAGGAAUCUGCCUCUCAUUUGCUUGGAUGAAACACUGUUGAGCAGUUUGGGCUGUGCUGGUUCUGAAGAGUGAAGCAGCAUUGCAGGGUCUCAGGAAAGUUCUUUACAGCUGUGUGAAAAUGGACUAAUACAACAUGGAAGAGGAAAUUCUGCCUCUGGACUGUCUUCAGAUUGCAGUAACAACUUCUCACUGAAUCACCAGCCUAUCCUGCCCUGCAGAUUCAGACUGGGGAGCACCAACAAUCAUAUCUUGUUCCAGCCCUGUUUCUGGGACUCCUCUACUACCACAGCCUGCUGGCCCACAGACCUCCUUCUCCUCUGCAUCCCGGUGGUCCUGACUCAGACCUUCUACAUUGUCACUUAGCAUUCACAACUCGCCAUUGAUCAAUGUCCCCCUUGGGAUCCUGUCUCACCAGGAGAACAAGUUGUACCAGCCUGUGCCCUUGGAUGCCAUUCCAGGCAGCAAUUCUGAAGACAGCUCUGGGGCUCCUCAGGUCUCUCUGCAGUGCUCCUCCUUCCCCUCUGCCUCCACUGCCCCAUCUCACCAGCCCUCCCCACCAACAUUUCCUCCAAGCCUCAACAAGUCACCCAAGAGUAUUCUAAGGUCCCUGCUGGUCUAUCUGACAAUAUGCAGAUAGGCCUUGGUUGCCUUGGCUGGCUGUGACCUUGCUGACAUCUAUAGACAGAGAGGUGGGAAUGAAAGACACAUUACUCCUGGAUGUUGGUGGAGAAGGUGGUGGUUGCAGUUGCUACGCAAGAGUCACCAGGCUGCAGACUCUGUCCACUUCUGAGAGUGCAAUGUCCCCUGUGAUUGGCUGGGAUUUCUGAGCUUUUCAGCUUGCAUAUGGUGAGAAUGUUGGCACACCGCAGCCCUGAGGGCCUGGGCUUUGGACUCCGGCAGUCCCACAUGUGUGUGCUACCUCUGCCGCUCUCUGGUUGUAUGAAGUCAAGCAAUGUCUGUAACCUCACUGAGUCACAGCGCUCUGCUCUGUAGAAUGGAGAUGGGAUCCUCUCUACCUCCUGCAGUGUCUGUGAAUGCCAUAACACAAGCCAGAGUGCUGAGCACCGUGCCCACCCUAGAAGAGGGCUCGGUGUAUAGUAGCAGCUCUUAAUGCUCCCAGGAUGCCUAAUAAAUUCUUUCAGAAA